This 346-nucleotide ribosomal RNA is filed under the name Staphylococcus epidermidis. Its description in RNAcentral is "bacterial SSU rRNA". It matches the Rfam family "Bacterial small subunit ribosomal RNA", at positions 1 to 338 of the family's 1533-position model. The record is from RNAcentral. Lineage: Bacteria; Bacillati; Bacillota; Bacilli; Caryophanales; Staphylococcaceae. RNAcentral also lists the same sequence under 1 other name.
UUUAAUAUGAUUUGAUCCUGGCUCAGGACGAACGCUGGCGGCGUGCCUAAUACAUGCAAGUUGAGCGCUGAAGGUUGGUACUUGUACCAACUGGAUGAGCAGCGAACGGGUGAGUAACGCGUGGGGAAUCUGCCUUUGAGCGGGGGACAACAUUUGGAAACGAAUGCUAAUACCGCAUAAAAACUUUAAACACAAGUUUUAAGUUUGAAAGAUGCAAUUGCAUCACUCAAAGAUGAUCCCGCGUUGUAUUAGCUAGUUGGUGAGGUAACGGCUCACCAAGGCCACGAUGCAUAGCCGACCUGAGAGGGUGAUCGGCCACACUGGGACUGAGACACGGCCCAGACUC